GACGAACGCUGGCGGCGUGCUUAACACAUGCAAGUCGAACGGUGAAGCGCCUUCCUUUUUGGUGGGUGUGGAUGAGUGGCGAACGGGUGAGUAACACGUGAGUAACCUGCCCCCUUCUUCUGGAUAACCGCAUGAAAGUGUGGCUAAUACGGGAUAUUCUGGGUCUGUCGCAUGAUGGGUCUGGGAAAGAUAUUGUUUCGGUGGGGGAUGGGCUCGCGGCCUAUCAGCUUGUUGGUGGGGUGAUGGCCUACCAAGGCGGUGACGGGUAGCCGGCCUGAGAGGGUGGACGGUCACACGGGGAAUGAGACACGGCCCAGACUCCUACGGGAGGCAGCAGUGGGGAAUAUUGCACAAUGGGCGCAAGCCUGAUGCAGCGACGCCGCGUGAGGGAUGGAGGCCUUCGGGUUGUGAACCUCUUUCGCCAGUGAAGCAGGCCUGCCUCGUUUGUGGGUGGGUUGACGGUAGCUGGAUAAGAAGCGCCGGCUAACUACGUG
This 494-nucleotide ribosomal RNA is filed under the name uncultured bacterium. Its description in RNAcentral is "partial 16S ribosomal RNA". It matches the Rfam family "Bacterial small subunit ribosomal RNA", at positions 28 to 507 of the family's 1533-position model. The record is from RNAcentral.